RNAcentral lists this ribosomal RNA (439 nucleotides) under uncultured bacterium. RNAcentral's name for it is "partial 16S ribosomal RNA". It matches the Rfam family "Bacterial small subunit ribosomal RNA", at positions 339 to 795 of the family's 1533-position model. The record is from RNAcentral.
CUACGGGCCGCUGCAGUGAGGAAUAUUGCACAAUGGGGGGAACCCUGAUGCAGCAACGCCGCGUGGAGGAUGACGCAUUUCGGUGUGUAAACUCCUUUUAUAUGUCAAGAAAAUGACGGUAGCAUAUGAAUAAGCACCGGCUAACUCCGUGCCAGCAGCCGCGGUAAUACGGAGGGUGCAAGCGUUACUCGGAAUCACUGGGCGUAAAGGACGCGUAGGCGGGUUGGAAAGUCAGGUGUGAAAUCCUACAGCUUAACUGUAGAACUGCACUUGAAACUUCUAAUCUAGAGUAUGGGAGGGGGAGAUGGAAUUAGUGGUGUAGGGGUAAGAUCCGUAGAUAUCACUAGGAAUACCUAAAGCGAAGGCGAUCUCCUGGAACAUUACUGACGCUAAGGCGUGAAAGCGUGGGGAUCAAACAGGAUUAGAUACCCCCGUAGUC